Molecule: ribosomal RNA, 562 nt
Filed under: Pseudalkalibacillus berkeleyi
Lineage: Bacteria; Bacillati; Bacillota; Bacilli; Caryophanales; Fictibacillaceae
Description: bacterial SSU rRNA
Rfam family: Bacterial small subunit ribosomal RNA
Source: RNAcentral
GAAACCGGGGCUAAUACCGGAUAAUACUGACCACCACAUGGUGGAAAGUUGAAAGAUGGCUUCUAGCUAUCACUUACAGAUGGGCCCGCGGCGCAUUAGCUAGUUGGUGAGGUAAGGGCUCACCAAGGCGACGAUGCGUAGCCGACCUGAGAGGGUGAUCGGCCACACUGGGACUGAGACACGGCCCAGACUCCUACGGGAGGCAGCAGUAGGGAAUCUUCGGCAAUGGGCGAAAGCCUGACCGAGCAACGCCGCGUGAGCGAUGAAGGCCUUCGGGUCGUAAAGCUCUGUUGUUAGGGAAGAACAAGUACCGUUCGAAUAGGGCGGUACCUUGACGGUACCUAACCAGAAAGCCACGGCUAACUACGUGCCAGCAGCCGCGGUAAUACGUAGGUGGCAAGCGUUGUCCGGAAUUAUUGGGCGUAAAGCGCGCGCAGGCGGUCUCUUAAGUCUGAUGUGAAAGCCCACGGCUCAACCGUGGAGGGCCAUUGGAAACUGGGGGACUUGAGUACUGGAGAGGAGAGUGGAAUUCCAUGUGUAGCGGUGAAAUGCGUAAAUAUAU